UACGGAGGGGGUUAGCGUUGUUCGGAAUUACUGGGCGUAAAGCGCGCGUAGGCGGAUUAGAAAGUUGNGGGUGAAAUCCCGGGGCUCAACCUCGGAACUGCCUCCAAAACUGCUAGUCUAGAGUUCGAGAGAGGUGAGUGGAAUUCCGAGUGUAGAGGUGAAAUUCGUAGAUAUUCGGAGGAACACCAGUGGCGAAGGCGGCUCACUGGCUCGAUACUGACGCUGAGGUGCGAAAGUGUGGGGAGCAAACAGG
RNAcentral lists this ribosomal RNA (253 nucleotides) under uncultured bacterium. RNAcentral describes it as "partial 16S ribosomal RNA". It matches the Rfam family "Bacterial small subunit ribosomal RNA", at positions 524 to 776 of the family's 1533-position model. The record is from RNAcentral.